CCUACGGGUGGCAGCAGUGAGGAAUAUUGGUCAAUGGACGAGAGUCUGAACCAGCCAAGUAGCGUGAAGGAUGACUGCCCUAUGGGUUGUAAACUUCUUUUAUAUGGGAAUAAAAUGUUCCACGUGUGGGAUUUUGUAUGUACCAUAUGAAUAAGGCUCGGCUAACUCCGUGCCAGCAGCCGCGGUAAUACGGAGGAUCCGAGCGUUAUCCGGAUUUAUUGGGUUUAAAGGGAGCGUAGGUGGAUUGUUUAGUCAGUUGUGAAAGUUUGCGGCUCAACCGUAAAAGUGCAGUUGAAACUGGCAGUCUUGAGUACAGUAGAGGUGGGCGGAAUUCGUGGUGUAGCGGUGAAAUGCUUAGAUAUCACGAAGAACUCCGAUUGCGAAGGCAGUUCACUGGACUGCAACUGACACUGAGGCUCGAAAGUGUGGGUAUCAAACAGGAUUAGAUACCCGAGUAGUC
This 460-nucleotide ribosomal RNA is filed under the name uncultured bacterium. RNAcentral describes it as "partial 16S ribosomal RNA". It matches the Rfam family "Bacterial small subunit ribosomal RNA", at positions 338 to 795 of the family's 1533-position model. The record is from RNAcentral.